Molecule: ribosomal RNA, 483 nt
Filed under: uncultured bacterium
Lineage: Bacteria
Description: bacterial SSU rRNA
Rfam family: Bacterial small subunit ribosomal RNA
Source: RNAcentral
AUGAACGCUAGCGGAAUGCUUUACACAUGCAAGUCGAACGGCAGCACGGGAGCAAUCCUGGUGGCGAGUGGCGAACGGGUGAGUAAUAUAUCGGAACGUGCCCAGUCGUGGGGGAUAACGUAGCGAAAGCUACGCUAAUACCGCAUACGAUCUAUGGAUGAAGGCGGGGGAUCGCAAGACCUCGCGCGAUUGGAGCGGCCGAUAUCAGAUUAGGUAGUUGGUGAGGUAAAGGCUCACCAAGCCGACGAUCUGUAGCUGGUCUGAGAGGACGACCAGCCACACUGGGACUGAGACACGGCCCAGACUCCUACGGGAGGCAGCAGUGGGGAAUUUUGGACAAUGGGCGCAAGCCUGAUCCAGCAAUGCCGCGUGCAGGAUGAAGGCCUUCGGGUUGUAAACUGCUUUUGUACGGAACGAAACGGUGAGCUCUAAUACAGUUUGCUAAUGACGGUACCGUAAGAAUAAGCACCGGCUAACUACGUG